AGCGAACGCUGGCGGCAGGCUUAACACAUGCAAGUCGAACGGUCGUAGCAAUACGGCAGUGGCAGACGGGUGAGUAACACGUGGGAAUGUACCUUUCGGUUCGGAAUAACUCGGGGAAACCCGUGCUAAUACCGGAUACGCCCUUACGGGGAAAGAUUUAUCGCCGAGAGAUCAGCCCGCGUCCGAUUAGCUAGUUGGUGAGGUAUGGCCCACCGAAGGCGACGAUCGGUAGCUGGUCUGAGAGGAUGAUCAGCCACACUGGGACUGAGACACGGCCCAGACUCCUACGGGAGGCAGCAGUGGGGAAUAUUGGAC
RNAcentral lists this ribosomal RNA (315 nucleotides) under uncultured bacterium. Its description in RNAcentral is "bacterial SSU rRNA". It matches the Rfam family "Bacterial small subunit ribosomal RNA", at positions 29 to 369 of the family's 1533-position model. The record is from RNAcentral.